This is a long non-coding RNA of Felis catus (domestic cat), 960 nucleotides long. RefSeq lists it as uncharacterized. Lineage: Eukaryota; Metazoa; Chordata; Mammalia; Carnivora; Felidae. The record is from RefSeq and is a predicted model, not a curated record. The transcript has 5 exons.
AACGUGAACUCUGGCUGACCCACGAACUGGACCUAGCCAAUCAGAAGCUCCUCGCCCCCUCCCCUUGCCUUUAAAUGUGCUUUCCGCUUGCCUUCCCCAUAUCAGAAGCUUCCUCAAGGACGCCGUUGUCAGUUAACGGAGUGGUUUUGAGUUCGCCUGAUCUGUUUGGUGACUGGGCUUCAUUCAAGUCUGUAUAAAAACUUUUAAGAUUCUGGCAAGCUGGUGCAGAGAUCUAUUCGUCUUGCAGCUGCCCAAGACAAGCCUUAUAAGCUCCUGAGUUGCUCACUGUGACCUGAAGGAUGCAUAGGAACUUUUCAGGUGAAAAAGGAGAAAGAAAAUUUCAGACCACAGGAAAAGCAAGUAGGAGCUGAACCUACCCGAGGAAGUGAUAGAGUUCCACCUCCAUCUUUGCCACUGAAUGGAAGAAAGGGAGUGGAGGUGGUGUCCUGGAUCUCAAAUGGGUGGGCCAGGAAACCACAAAUACUGCUUCUGGCCAGAGUAGUCACAUGAUCCUUCUUAACUGCAAGUAGCCUGGGAAUGUAGCCUUCCUGUGAACCCAGGAAAGAAGGCAAGAAAGGAUGUGGAUACCACCAAUUCAUACUGCAGAGCCAUUUUCAGAGGACUUUGGAUAUUUUAAGAAGAACCAUUGAAGAUUAGGGACCUCCUGGGAAACCUAUUAUUUCCCAGGUAUGGGACCCAGAAGAGGACCACAGAAGAUGAAAAUGCCAGGGCAAUGAUGGUAGAUGAGACAGGCCAAGAGAGAAAUGAGACACUUCUGACUAGUAUUUUACUAAUUACCUGUUUAGAUGGAAUAUAGAUCAUGAUAAGAAACACAGUGUAGGGGAACCUGGGUGACUCAGUUGGUUAAGCAUCCUACUUUGGCUCACUCAGGUCAUGAUCUUGCAGUUACUGAGUUCAAGGCCCACAUCAGGGUCUCUGCUGUCAGUGCAGAGCCCACUU